GACGAACGCUGGCGGCGUGCUUAACACAUGCAAGUCGAACGGAAAGGCCCUGCUUUUGUGGGGUGCUCGAGUGGCGAACGGGUGAGUAACACGUGAGUAACCUGCCCUUGACUUUGGGAUAACUUCAGGAAACUGGGGCUAAUACCGGAUAGGAGCUCCUGCUGCAUGGUGGGGGUUGGAAAGUUUCGGCGGUUGGGGAUGGACUCGCGGCUUAUCAGCUUGUUGGUGGGGUAGUGGCUUACCAAGGCUUUGACGGGUAGCCGGCCUGAGAGGGUGACCGGCCGCAUUGGGACUGCGAUACGGCCCAGACUCCUACGGGAGGCAGCAGUGGGGAAUAUUGCACAAUGGGCGGAAGCCUGAUGCAGCAACGCCGCGUGCGGGAUGACGGCCUUCGGGUUGUAAACCGCUUUCGCCUGUGACGAAGCGUGAGUGACGGUAAUGGGUAAAGAAGCACCGGCUAACUACGUG
This 468-nucleotide ribosomal RNA is filed under the name uncultured bacterium. Its description in RNAcentral is "partial 16S ribosomal RNA". It matches the Rfam family "Bacterial small subunit ribosomal RNA", at positions 28 to 507 of the family's 1533-position model. The record is from RNAcentral.